RNAcentral lists this ribosomal RNA (253 nucleotides) under uncultured bacterium. RNAcentral describes it as "partial 16S ribosomal RNA". It matches the Rfam family "Bacterial small subunit ribosomal RNA", at positions 524 to 776 of the family's 1533-position model. The record is from RNAcentral.
UACGGAGGUGGCAAGCGUUGCUCGGAAUCACUGGGCGUAAAGGGCGCGUAGGCGGGGAGGUAAGUCGGGUGUGAAAUCCCUCGGCCCAACUGAGGAACUGCGCCCGAGACUGCUUCUCUUGAGUCCCGGAGAGGAAGAUGGAAUUCCCGGUGUAGCGGUGAAAUGCGCAGAUAUCAGGAGGAACACCGGUGGCGAAGGCGGAUCUCUGGGCCUUACCUGACGCUCAGGUGCGAAAGCUAGGGGAGCGAACAGG